This 28-nucleotide non-coding RNA is filed under the name Hemiselmis andersenii. The record is from RNAcentral. Lineage: Eukaryota; Cryptophyceae; Cryptomonadales; Hemiselmidaceae.
AGUAUCUGGCUCUGGCCUGGUGCUUGCU